Molecule: ribosomal RNA, 253 nt
Filed under: uncultured bacterium
Lineage: Bacteria
Description: partial 16S ribosomal RNA
Rfam family: Bacterial small subunit ribosomal RNA
Source: RNAcentral
UACAGAGGGUGCGAGCGUUAAUCGGAAUUACUGGGCGUAAAGCGUGCGUAGACGGUUAUCUAAGUCGGAUGUGAAAGCCCCGGGCUCAACCUGGGAAUGGCAUUUGGGACUGCAAGGCUGGAGUUUGGCAGAGGAGACUGGAAUUCCUGGUGUAGCAGUGAAAUGCGUAGAUAUCAGGAGGAACACCGAUGGCGAAGGCAGGUCUCUGGGCUGAAACUGACGCUCAAGCACGAAAGCGUGGGGAGCAAACAGG